AGUCGAGCGGAGAUGAGGUGCUUGCACCUUAUCUUAGCGGCGGACGGGUGAGUAAUGCUUAGGAAUCUGCCAUUUAGUGGGGGACAACAUUCCGAAAGGAAUGCUAAUACCGCAUACGUCCUGCGGGAGAAAGCAGGGGAUCUUCGGACCUUGCGCUAAAUGAUGAGCCUAAGUCGGAUUAGCUAGUUGGUGGGGUAAAGGCUUACCAAGGCGACGAUCUGUAGCGGGUCUGAGAGGAUGAUCCGCCACACUGGGACUGAGACACGGCCCAGACUCCUACGGGAGGCAGCAGUGGGGAAUAUUGGACAAUGGGCGGAAGCCUGAUCCAGCCAUGCCGCGUGUGUGAAGAAGGCCUUUUGGUUGUAAAGCACUUUAAGCGAGGAGGAGGCUACUAGUACUAAUACUACUGGAUAGUGGACGUUACUCGCAGAAUAAGCACCGGCUAACUCUGUGCCAGCAGCCGCGGUAAUACAGAGGGUGCGAGCGUUAAUCGGAUUUACUGGGCGUAAAGCGUGCGUAGGCGGCUUUUUAAGUCGGAUGUGAAAUCCCCGAGCUUAACUUGGGAAUUGCAUUCGAUACUGGGAAGCUAGAGUAUGGGAGAGGAUGGUAGAAUUCCAGGUGUAGCGGUGAAAUGCGUAGAGAUCUGGAGGAAUACCGAUGGCGAAGGCAGCCAUCUGGCCUAAUACUGACGCUGAGGUACGAAAGCAUGGGGAGCAAACAGGAUUAGAUACCCUGGUAGUCCAUGCCGUAAACGAUGUCUACUAGCCGUUGAGGCCUUUGAGGCUUUAGUGGCACAGCUAACGCGAUAAGUAGACCGCCUGGGGAGUACGGUCGCAAGACUAAAACUCAAAUGGAUUGACGGGGGCCCGCACAAGCGGUGGAGCAUGUGGUUUAAUUCGAUGCAACGCGAAGAACCUUACCUGGNCCUUGACAUACUANAAACUUUCCAGANAUGGNUUGGUGCCUUCGGGAAUCUAGAUACNGGUGCUGCAUGGCUGUCGUCAGCUC
This 1008-nucleotide ribosomal RNA is filed under the name uncultured bacterium. RNAcentral describes it as "bacterial SSU rRNA". It matches the Rfam family "Bacterial small subunit ribosomal RNA", at positions 60 to 1061 of the family's 1533-position model. The record is from RNAcentral.